RNAcentral lists this non-coding RNA (23 nucleotides) under Arabidopsis thaliana (thale cress). Lineage: Eukaryota; Viridiplantae; Streptophyta; Magnoliopsida; Brassicales; Brassicaceae. The record is from RNAcentral.
CUGAAGGUCGCGUGUUCGAUCCA